GAAACCCUGCCUGGUACGUGGGGAUUUAAGUAUUUUUUAACCGAUAAAUUAUUUUUGGAGGUUGUUCCUUAUUCUGGUGUGCAUGCUUGGGAAACCAAGAAGCCUAAAAGAAUAACACGACUUCCACCUGGUUAUUGACUAGGGUUUAAAAAUGAAAAUCCUUUCACGGCUUAUGGUGGGGUUUUU
Molecule: non-coding RNA, 186 nt
Filed under: Deltaproteobacteria bacterium RIFCSPHIGHO2_02_FULL_40_28
Lineage: Bacteria; Deltaproteobacteria
Also listed under: 3 other names
Description: 6S RNA
Rfam family: 6S / SsrS RNA
About the family: E. coli 6S RNA was the first non coding RNA to be sequenced, but its function was unknown until recently. It consists of 184 nucleotides that fold into an extended hairpin structure with a large single-stranded internal bulge.
Source: RNAcentral